Molecule: ribosomal RNA, 468 nt
Filed under: uncultured bacterium
Lineage: Bacteria
Description: partial 16S ribosomal RNA
Rfam family: Bacterial small subunit ribosomal RNA
Source: RNAcentral
GACGAACGCUGGCGGCGUGCUUAACACAUGCAAGUCGAACGGAAAGGCCCUGCUUUUGUGGGGUGCUCGAGUGGCGAACGGGUGAGUAACACGUGAGUAACCUGCCCUUGACUUUGGGAUAACUUCAGGAAACUGGGGCUAAUACCGGAUAGGAGCUCCUGCUGCAUGGUGGGGGGUGGAAAGUCUCGGCGGUUGGGGAUGGACGGGCGGCUUAUCAGCUUGUUGGUGGGGUAGUGGCUUACCAAGGCUGUGACGGGUAGCCGGCCUGGGAGGGUGACCGGCCACAUUGGUACUGAGGGACGGACCAGAGUGCUACGGGAGGCAGCAGUGGGGAAUCUUGCCCAGUGGGCGCAAGCCUGAUGCAGAAGCGUCGCGUGCGGGAUGCCGGCCUUCGGGUUGUAAACCGCAUUAGCUUGUGACGCAGCUGGAGUGACGGUACUGGGUAAAGAAGCACCGGCUAACUACGUG